This 1599-nucleotide long non-coding RNA is filed under the name Oreochromis niloticus (Nile tilapia). RNAcentral's name for it is "lncRNA (ENSONIG00000041331.1)". The record is from RNAcentral. Lineage: Eukaryota; Metazoa; Chordata; Actinopteri; Cichliformes; Cichlidae.
ACUGUUAUUUCAUAAACAACAUGUUUCCUGCUAAGUUGCAAAGUUGAGGACGACAGUGAAGAUGAAGUUUAUGACUCACGUUAACUUAACUGAUUCUGCAAAUAACGCCCAGAUACUCCAGCAGCUCGGAACCAAGCUAACAAGUCAAGGAUGGGCUGAUUUCAAACUGCAAUGGAAGAUUCAACCCAAAAAACAAGAGAAUGGGGAAAACUGAGAAACUUAGGUGUUAUACAGUAAUGAUAUAAUUUGCUGAAUCAGGGUCUCUGUCCACUCCAAGUGACAAUUUUCAAUACGAAUUUUAUAGCUCUUAUGGUAUCAACACACAGCAUUAGCAUUGACAAUGUUCAGAAUCUUCAGUGCUGACCCUUAGAGUCACUGACAGGUAUAUUGUAACCCAGCUGGAGAAAUGGGUUAAAAUAAGAUAAGCUUUGUAAGUUAUUUGCUUUGUUAUAGAAUUGUUCUUUAUUUGUUUUUUCAUUGUUACAAGAAGUAAUAAUGUGAAAAAUGGGAUUUAGUUCCACCCUUCCUGCUGUGCCUAGCAGGAGUUUUUAUUUUGAAGGUUUACCGGAAGUUGUGUGUUAACAUUACAUGUUCUUACUAGCCAUUUGAAGGAAAAAAGAAAAGCCGAUGUUAUCUUGAUCAGCAGCAGAAACUGCCUCAGUUAUGGAAGCAAAGCUUCAUAAAAAGUUGUUAAAAAAGUGUUCAGAAGUUUUUCGCUAACAUCUCAGUAGUGAGGUAAAUGUUAGGCAGAGCUGCCGAAAUCAGCAGAGGUAGUGGCUAAGUUAAGGGUGUUCCACGUGUCUCGGUCAGGUCUUUUAGUGACCUAUGAGCUCCAUGAGGAAAGACCAGUGAUUCCAGUUGAUGGCAAGCCUCCCAGUGUGAUUUCCAGGAUCCAGAUCUGGACAACCACUCAGAUGGCCAAUGGUUUAUAUGAUUUCUGGUAGGAUUCCACCAGUCAUCCCAACUGGCAACAGUGAACAGACAGAAAGAGUGCACUCCAGACUAUAAGUACACCAGGUGCGAAACUUCACUAGACUUGUGAGUUGCUGACUGACAGAUUAUUACAGAUCAUUCCCUCAUCUGAUCUGUGCUUUGACUUGACCAUAAAACUCUGAGGAACAAACUGAAAUAUAAGGUUGCAACCUAACAAAAUACCUUCAAAGGGACAAUUCAAAUGGUUAAGGACAAUGCUUUUUAUUUUCAUUUUAUUUUGUAAAGGGCCCUGGUUGUUAUCUUUGUUGUGAAACUGUUACCUGUUUAAAACUAAAGUCACAGUUAACUGAAAUUUCUGUGCAUUAUGAUUAUUCAAACUCAUCUCCAGCUCCUCCCCGAACCUAGAGUGAGGUGUACUUACCCACGAGUGGGUUACAAUAUAUUUACAAACAAACAAUGAAAAAGAUUUUUUGACAAUGAGAUCUCAGGUGCAGAAAUGUUUUCCAUGGACACAGACCCCUACGCUUUAGCUAACAGGAGAAUUCAUCAUAGAUGUGGAUCAGGCAAUUUCUGAUGCUGUAAAUAAUGUAAUGUAAAGUCUCUCUUCAAACAUGAAAACCAUAUAAAAGUUCAGGAACUCGUCCCUGACCCGGAGUGGACACUCCA